RNAcentral lists this ribosomal RNA (433 nucleotides) under uncultured bacterium. RNAcentral's name for it is "partial 16S ribosomal RNA". It matches the Rfam family "Bacterial small subunit ribosomal RNA", at positions 29 to 507 of the family's 1533-position model. The record is from RNAcentral.
AGCGAACGCUGGCGGCAUGCCUAACACAUGCAAGUCGAACGAGACCUUCGGGUCUAGUGGCGCACGGGUGCGUAACGCGUGGGAACCUGCCCUUAGGUUCGGAAUAACUCCCCGAAAGGGGUGCUAAUACCGGAUAAUGUCUUCGGACCAAAGAUUUAUCGCCUUUGGAUGGGCCCGCGUUGGAUUAGCUAGUUGGUAGGGUAAAAGCCUACCAAGGCGACGAUCCAUAGCUGGUCUGAGAGGAUGAUCAGCCACACUGGGACUGAGACACGGCCCAGACUCCUACGGGAGGCAGAAGUGGGGAAUAUUGGACAAUGGGCGAAAGCCUGAUCCAGCAAUGCCGCGUGAGUGAUGAAGGCCUUAGGGUUGUAAAGCUCUUUUACCCGGGAUGAUAAUGACAGUACCGGGAGAAUAAGCUCCGGCUAACUCCGUG